UACAGAGGGUGCGAGCAUUGUUCGGAAUCAUUGGGCGUAAAGCGCUUGUAGGCGGCCUGUCAAGUCGCGUGUGAAAUCCCUCGGCUUAACCAAGGAAGUGCGCGCGAAACUGGCGGGCUUGAGUGCCGGAGAGGGUCGCGGAAUUCCCGGUGUAGAGGUGAAAUUCGUAGAUAUCGGGAGGAACACCAGUGGCGAAGGCGGCGACCUGGACGGACACUGACGCUGAGACGCAAAAGCGUGGGGAGCAAACAGG
RNAcentral lists this ribosomal RNA (253 nucleotides) under uncultured bacterium. RNAcentral's name for it is "partial 16S ribosomal RNA". It matches the Rfam family "Bacterial small subunit ribosomal RNA", at positions 524 to 776 of the family's 1533-position model. The record is from RNAcentral.